RNAcentral lists this ribosomal RNA (2820 nucleotides) under Kalymmatonema hyalinum. Its description in RNAcentral is "bacterial LSU rRNA". It matches the Rfam family "Bacterial large subunit ribosomal RNA". Lineage: Bacteria; Bacillati; Cyanobacteriota; Cyanophyceae; Nostocales; Scytonemataceae. The record is from RNAcentral.
GGUCAAGCUAAUUAGGGCUAAUGGUCGAUACCUAGGCACACAGAGGCGAAGAAGGACGUAGUUACCGACGAAACGCUCCGGGGAGCUGGAAGCUUGCGAUUGAUCCGGAGAUAUCCGAAUGGGGCAACCCCAAGUACUGCCUGUUGAAUAUAUAGACAGGAAAGAGCCAACCCAGCGAACUGAAACAUCUUAGUAGCUGGAGGAAGAGAAAGAAAUUUCGAUUUCCCAAGUAGUGGUGAGCGAACGGGAAACAGCCUAAACCAACGAGUUUACUUGUUGGGGUCGUGGGACAGCAAUAUCGAAUCUGGCGGUUAGACGAAGCAGAUAAAUACUGCACCAAAGAAGGUGAAAGUCCUGUAGUCGAAAACUUAAGGAUAGUAGCUGAAUCCCGAGUAGCAUGGGACACGAGAAAUCCCAUGUGAAUCUGCGAGGACCAUCUCGUAAGGCUAAAUACUACUGUGUGACCGAUAGUGAACCAGUACCGCGAGGGAAAGGUGAAAAGAACCCCGAAUAGGGGAGUGAAAUAGAACAUGAAACCAUUAGCCUACAAGUAGUGGAAGGACGAUUUAACGUCUAACCGCGUGCCUGUUGAAGAAUGAGCCGGCGAGUUAUAAGCAGUGGUAGGUUAAGUCAAAGACGUAGCCAAAGCGAAAGCGAGUCUGAAUGGGGCGUUAAUCACUGUUUAUAGACCCGAACCCGGGUGAUCUAACCAUGUCCAGGAUGAAGCUUGGGUAACACCAAGUGGAGGUCCGAACCGACCGAUGUUGAAAAAUCGGCGGAUGAGGUGUGGUUAGGGGUGAAAUGCCAAUCGAACCCGGAGCUAGCUGGUUCUCCCCGAAAUGUGUUUAGGCGCAGCGGUAACGAAUAUAUCUGGGGGGUAAAGCACUGUUGAGGUGCGGGCUGGGAGACCGGUACCAAAUCUCGGCAAACUCAGAAUACCCAGAGCACACGUUGCCAGUGAGACGGUGGGGGAUAAGCUUCAUCGUCAAGAGGGAAACAGCCCAGACCACCAGCUAAGGUCCCCAAAUCAUCGCUAAGUGGUAAAGGAGGUGAGAGUGCACAGACAACCAGGAGGUUUGCCUAGAAGCAGCCACCCUUGAAAGAGUGCGUAAUAGCUCACUGGUCAAGCGCUCUUGCGCCGAAAAUGAACGGGACUAAGCGAUGUACCGAAGCUGUGGACUUAGAAAUAAGUGGUAGGGGAGCGUUCCGUUGUAGGUAGAAGCAGUAGCGGCAAGCAGCUGUGGACGAAACGGAAGUGAGAAUGUCGGCUUGAGUAGCGAAAACAUUGGUGAGAAUCCAAAGCCCCGUAACCCCAAGGGUUCCAGAGCAAGGUUCGUCCACUCUGGGUUAGUCGGGUCCUAAGGCGAGGCCAAACGGCGUAGUCGAUGGACACAGGGUCAAUAAUCCCUGACUAUUGAGUGGGAGCAUAUUAAGGGACGCAUGACGAUAAGCCACACCCUAAUUGGAUUGGGAGGAGUUUACGAACUCCGCGUGGUGAACAAUAGUGCCAAGAAAAGCUUGAUAUGUGAUGAAAGCUCAAUACCCGUACCCGAAACCGACACAGGUGGGGAGGUUGAGAAUACCAAGGGGCGCGAGAUAACUCUCUCUAAGGAACUCGGCAAAAUUGCCCCGUAACUUCGGAAUAAGGGGUGCCCACGCAAGUGGGUUGCAGUGAAGAGGCCCAGGCGACUGUUUACCAAAAACACAGGUCUCCGCAAACUCGUAAGAGGACGUAUGGGGGCUGACGCCUGCCCAGUGCCGGAAGGUUAAAGAAGUUGGUCAGGGGGARACCCUAAAGCUGACGACUGAAGCCCCGGUGAACGGCGGCCGUAACUAUAACGGUCCUAAGGUAGCGAAAUUCCUUGUCGGGUAAGUUCCGACCCGCACGAAAGGCGUAACGAUCUGGGCGCUGUCUCGGAGAGAGACUCGGCGAAAUAAGAAUGUCUGUGAAGAUACGGACUACCUGCACCUGGACAGAAAGACCCUAUGAAGCUUUACUGUAGCCUGUAAUUGGUUACUGGUUUUGACUACGCAGUAUAGGUGGGAGGCAUUGAAAGUUCCCUUGUGGGGGGACUGGAGCCGACAGUGAGAUACCACUUUGUCAGAACUGGGAGCCUAACUAGUAGCCGUUAUCCGGCACUGGGACAGUUUCAGGUGGGCAGUUUGACUGGGGCGGUCGCCUCCUAAAAGGUAACGGAGGCGCACAAAGGUUCCCUCAGCACGGUUGGAAAUCGUGCGUUGAGUGUAAAGGCAAUAAGGGAGCUUGACUGCAAGAGUUACAACUCGAGCAGGGUGGAAACACGGUCUUAGUGAUCCGACGGCACAGCGUGGAAUGGCCGUCGCUCAACGGAUAAAAGUUACUCUAGGGAUAACAGGCUGAUCUCCGCCAAGAGUUCACAUCGACGCGGAGGUUUGGCACCUCGAUGUCGGCUCAUCGCAACCUGGGGCGGAAGUACGUCCCAAGGGUUGGGCUGUUCGCCCAUUAAAGCGGUACGUGAGCUGGGUUCAGAACGUCGUGAGACAGUUCGGUCCAUAUCCGGUGCAGGCGCAAGAGCAUUGAGAGGAGUCCUCCUUAGUACGAGAGGACCGGGAGGAACGCACCGCUGGUGUACCAGUUAUCGUGCCAACGGUAAACGCUGGGUAGCCAAGUGCGGAGUGGAUAACUGCUGAAAGCAUCUAAGUGGGAAGCCCACCUUAAGAUGAGUGCUCUCAUGGCAUAAGCCAGUAAGGUCACAGGUAGAUUACCUGUUGAUAGGCGGUAGGUGGAAGUGCAGUAAUGUAUGCAGCCGAGCCGUGCUAACAGACCGAGGGCUUGACCUC